CUUUACACAUGCAGUUGUACGGUCUCUGAAAAUUGGGGUAGUAACGAACGGGUGAGUAAUUUGCAAGAAUUGACAUUUAGGAGGUGAACAACAUUUGGAAACGAGUGCUAAUGCGCCAUAAUGCUAUAAAGUUAAAGAUACACAAUAUCGCCUAGAUACAAGCUUGCAACUGAUUAGCUUGUUGGUGGGGUAAUGGCUUACCAAGGCUUUUAUCAGUAGCUGGUCUUAGAGGAUGUACAGCCACACUGGAAAUGAGAUAUGAACAGACUCCUACGGGAGGCAGCAGUGAGGAAUCUUCCGCAAUGAGUGAAAGCUUGACGGAGCAAUGCCGCGUGGAGGAUGAAGGCCUUAGGGUUGUAAUCUCCUUUUCUCACAGAAGAAUUUUUGACGGUAUUUGAGGAAUAAGCAUCGGCUAACUUCGUGCCAGCAGCCGCGGUAAUACGAGGGAUGCAAGCGUUAUCCGGAAUUAUUGGGCGUAAAGCGUUUGUAGGCGGGCGGGUGUGUUUAAUGUUAAAUCUUAAAGCUCAACUUUGAAAUUGCGUUAAAAACUGCUUGUCUUGAGUAUGGUAGGGGUAAAGGGAAUUCCCAGUGUAGCGGUGAAAUGCGUAGAUAUUGGGAAGAACACUAAACAGCGAAGGCACUUUACUAGGCUAAUACUGACGCUGAGAAACGAAAGGUAAGGUAGCGAAACGGAUUAGAUACCCGUGUAGUCUUACCCGUAAACUAUGGACACUAAACGGUAAAUUUUUAAUUUACUGUUAAAGCUAACGCGUUAAGUGUCCCGCCUGGGGAGUAUGCUUGCAAAAGUGAAACUCAAGGAAUUGACGGGGGCCCGCACGAGCGGUGGAGCAUGUGGUUUAAUUCGACGGUACACGAAGAACCUUACCAGGAUUUGACAUGCUAGAUAGUUGCUUGAAAGAGUAACGUGCCGUAAGGGAUCUAGACACAGGUGCUGCAUGGCUGUCGUCAGCUCGUGUCGUGAGAUG
Molecule: ribosomal RNA, 986 nt
Filed under: uncultured bacterium
Lineage: Bacteria
Description: bacterial SSU rRNA
Rfam family: Bacterial small subunit ribosomal RNA
Source: RNAcentral